Molecule: long non-coding RNA, 132 nt
Organism: Xiphophorus hellerii (green swordtail)
Lineage: Eukaryota; Metazoa; Chordata; Actinopteri; Cyprinodontiformes; Poeciliidae
Exons: 3
Source: RefSeq, a predicted model, not a curated record
UGUUUUUUUCUGUAUCAUUAAGUUCUUUCUCCACCAUCAGUACAUUUAUCAGGGAUACAUGAGAUUGAUUGACAGCGCUAAGCCCCUCCUCCUGGCUGUGAUUGGUUGUUUUUGGCCAGAAGGGGUGCAUUA